UUGUCAGGUCUAAAAAACAGCUCCAUUCAAGAAUUGCUUCCGUUUCUCAAUUUUUACCACAUUAAAAGCAAAUGCAGAGUUGCCGGCCACUAGAAAAAAGAGAGUGUCGAGCAAUUUCAGCAAGUAAAUUAGUCAUGGCCUGGGCUAAAAGAGCCAUGUCGGGUAUAUUUUACUUUAAAUAACUCGUACGAGAUCUCGUUUAUUGAUUUCAAAAAAUGUUCCUCCUGGCUUUGGUUUAUUUGCUGCUGGUGCUUGAUAGUCCCCUCCAAGUCAAAUCAAAUAAUAUUUCGAGCUAUUUAAGAGGCUACUACCAUCAGCCAUGGAAUGGUGAUCAGUCUGAUCGCUCAAUACCGAGUUAUGUAAAUAUUUUCGCUGGCGAGCAUCACGUGUUCAACAAUGAAACUUCCGAUGCUCAGGAUCUGCUCGAUAUCCACAAAAUUGAGUUCGGACGUUCGCCACGCCAAAUUAAGAGUGUUUCAUGAGUGAAAAUAAAAGUAUUGAGAGUAAAAAUUCA
Molecule: long non-coding RNA, 514 nt
Organism: Drosophila guanche
Lineage: Eukaryota; Metazoa; Arthropoda; Insecta; Diptera; Drosophilidae
Exons: 2
Source: RefSeq, a predicted model, not a curated record